This 1087-nucleotide ribosomal RNA is filed under the name Candidatus Malacoplasma girerdii. RNAcentral's name for it is "bacterial SSU rRNA". It matches the Rfam family "Bacterial small subunit ribosomal RNA", at positions 277 to 1380 of the family's 1533-position model. Lineage: Bacteria; Bacillati; Mycoplasmatota; Mycoplasmoidales; Mycoplasmoidaceae. The record is from RNAcentral.
UGACGAAUAGCUAUGCUGAGAGGUAGAAUAGCCACAAGGGGACUGAGACACGGCCCCUACUCCUACGGGAGGCAGCAGUAGGGAAUUUUUCACAAUGGGCGAAAGCCUGAUGGAGCAAUACCGCGUGAAUGAUGAAGGUCUUCGGAUUGUAAAAUUCUUUUAUUAGGGACGAACGGCACUAAGAGGAAAUGCUUAGUGAUUGACUGUACCUAUUGAAUAAGUAACGGCAAACUAUGUGCCAGCAGCCGCGGUAAUACAUAGGUUACAAGCGUUAUCCGGAUUUACUGGGCGUAAAGCGAGCGCAGGCUGAUUAACAAGUCUAGUGUGAAAUGCAGUUGCUUAACAACUGUUUGCAUUGGAAACUGUUAGUCUGGAGUGUGAUAGGGAGUUCUGGAACUCCAUAUGGAGCGGUGGAAUGCGUAGAUAUAUGGAAGAACACCUGUGGCGAAAGCGAGAACUUAGGUCACAACUGACGCUUAGGCUCGAAAGUGUGGGGAGCAAAUAGGAUUAGAUACCCUAGUAGUCCACACCGUAAACGAUGGUUAUUAGUUGUUGGUACGAAGUACUAGUAACGAAGCUAACGCAUUAAAUAACCCGCCUGGGUAGUACAUUCGCAAGAAUGAAACUCAAACGGAAUUGACGGGGACCCGCACAAGUGGUGGAGCAUGUUGUUUAAUUCGUCAGUACACGAAGAACCUUACCAGGGUUUGACAUCCUCGGCAAAGCUAUAGAAAUAUAGUGGAGGUUAACCGAGAGACAGGUGGUGCAUGGUUGUCGUCAGCUCGUGUCGUGAGAUGUUGGGUUAAGUCCCGCAACGAGCGCAACCCCUAUUGUUAGUUACUUUAUCUAACGAGACUGCUAACGCAAGUUAGAGGAAGGUGGGGAUGACGUCAAAUCAUCAUGCCCUUUAUAUCCUGGGCCACAAACGUGCUACAAUGGUUGGUACAAACUGUUGCCAAACUGUAAAGUGGAGCUAAUCAGAAAAAACCAAUCUCAGUUCGGAUUGAGGGCUGAAAUUCGUCCUCAUGAAGUUGGAAUCACUAGUAAUCGCGAAUCAGACAUGUCGCGGUGAAUGCGUUCUCGGGUC